UACGGGGGGAGCAAGCGUUGUCCGGAAUUAUUGGGCGUAAAGGGCGUGUAGGCGGCUUGGUCAGUCGAAUGUGAAAUCCCACGGCUCAACCGUGGAAUUGCGUUCGAUACUGCCUGGCUUGAGUAUGUGAUAGGUGUGCGGAAUUCCUGGUGUAGCGGUGGAAUGCGUAGAUAUCAGGAAGAACACCGAUGGCGAAGGCAGCACACUGGCGCAAUACUGACGCUGAGGCGCGAAAGCGUGGGGAGCAAACAGGAUUAGAUGCCCUGGUAGUCCACGCUGUAAACGAUGGGUACUGGGUUUCGGGGUCUCAACCCUCUCGGAGCCGUAGCUAACGCGUUAAGUACCCCGCCUGGGGAGUACGGUCGCAAGGCUGAA
This 375-nucleotide ribosomal RNA is filed under the name uncultured bacterium. RNAcentral's name for it is "bacterial SSU rRNA". It matches the Rfam family "Bacterial small subunit ribosomal RNA", at positions 524 to 898 of the family's 1533-position model. The record is from RNAcentral.